GGGGAUAUAGCUCAGUGGUAGAGCAUGUACUUAGUAUGUGCAAGGCUCUGUGUUCAGUUCUCAGUACCA
Fukomys damarensis (Damara mole-rat) is the source of this 69-nucleotide non-coding RNA. The record is from Rfam. Lineage: Eukaryota; Metazoa; Chordata; Mammalia; Rodentia; Bathyergidae.